GCAAAUGGCAAUUUGAUCACAAUCUCCUCUCAGCUCAAAAGCUAAUCAGGGUCAGGCCAAGUUAGUACUUGGAUGGGAGACCAACUGGAAAUAAAAGCGGCUAUAAGCU
RNAcentral lists this ribosomal RNA (109 nucleotides) under Salvator merianae (Argentine black and white tegu). The record is from RNAcentral. Lineage: Eukaryota; Metazoa; Chordata; Lepidosauria; Squamata; Teiidae.